This 422-nucleotide ribosomal RNA is filed under the name uncultured Kytococcus sp. RNAcentral describes it as "bacterial SSU rRNA". It matches the Rfam family "Bacterial small subunit ribosomal RNA", at positions 77 to 508 of the family's 1533-position model. The record is from RNAcentral. Lineage: Bacteria; Bacillati; Actinomycetota; Actinomycetes; Micrococcales; Kytococcaceae.
CACUCGUGGGAUCAGUGGCGAAACGGGGGUGAGUAAACAACGUGAGUAACCCUGCCCCAUCACUCUGGGAUAAAGCGCUGGAAACGGCGUCUAAUACUGGAUAUGACUGACCCUCGCAUGGGGUGUUGGUGGAAAGAUUUAUCGGUGGUGGAUGGACUCGCGUCCUAUCAGCUUGUUGGUGGGGUAAUGGCCUACCAAGGCGACGACGGGUAGCCGGCCUGAGAGGGCGACCGGCCACACUGGGACUGAGACACGGCCCAGACUCCUACGGGAGGCAGCAGUGGGGAAUAUUGCACAAUGGGCGAAAGCCUGAUGCAGCGACGCCGCGUGAGGGAUGACGGCCUUCGGGUUGUAAACCUCUUUCAGCAGGGAAGAAGCUUUUGUGACGGUACCUGCAGAAGAAGCACCGGCUAACUACGUGC